GCUGGUGUAUGUGAUGACCAAACUUUUUUCCCCAUCAGAGCGACAGUGUUGAUUUCUCACCACUCUAGCCAGAUCCUGUCUGAUGCACCAGC
This is a small nucleolar RNA of Apteryx haastii (Great spotted kiwi), 92 nucleotides long. The record is from Ensembl. Lineage: Eukaryota; Metazoa; Chordata; Aves; Apterygiformes; Apterygidae.